RNA transcript from Drosophila hydei, 2034 nucleotides. It is a transcript of the gene named 1-acylglycerol-3-phosphate O-acyltransferase Pnpla3, with no coding region annotated. The record is from RefSeq and is a predicted model, not a curated record. The transcript is spliced from 8 exons. NCBI's taxonomy places the organism in Eukaryota, Metazoa, Arthropoda, Insecta, Diptera, Drosophilidae.
CAACUAAUUUUUGUUCAUUGUUAUUAUAGCAGCUGUAAGUAACGGUUGGUGAAAAUUUUGAUCGGAAGUAAAAUAAAAUCAACGAAGACACAAAAAGUUUAAUCAAUACUGUGCAAAACAUACAAUAACAAAAAUUUCUUCCUAAUCAAAGACGUGUAUAUUUUCGGUGCCAAUAGUCAAGUUGGAAAGCGCGCAAAUUAAAACGUUCUUAUCAAACACAUAUACAUAAAUAUCUGAAGUGGUGAUAAUAAAAAACACAAUAUGAAUUUAUCCUUUGCUGGAUGCGGUUUCCUUGGAAUAUAUCAUGUCGGCGUUGCUGUUUCCUUUAAGAAGUACGCGCCGCAUCUACUUCUAGAAAAAAUUGGAGGAGCCUCGGCGGGCUCCUUAGCAGCAUGCUGCCUACUAUGCGAUUUGCCACUAGGUAGCAUGACAUCGGACUUCUUUCGUGUGGUAAACGAGGCACGACGUCAUUCGCUUGGACCGUUCAGUCCGUCUUUCAAUAUUCAAACUUGUUUGCUAGAAGGGCUCCAGAAACAUCUUCCACAUGACACGCAUAAGCGCGUCAGCGGACGUUUGCAUAUCUCUCUAACGCGUGUUUACGAUGGCAAGAACGUGAUCAUUUCUGAGUUUAACUCGCGUGAAGAAGUGUUGCAAGCUUUACUUUGUGCGUGCUUUAUUCCCGGGUUUUCCGGAAUUUUACCACCGCGAUUCCGUGGCGUGCGCUAUAUGGAUGGUGCAUUUUCGGAUAACUUACCAAUUCUAGAUGAAAACACAAUCACUGUGAGCCCAUUUUGCGGAGAAAGCGAUAUUUGCCCACGUGAUCAGAGCUCACAACUUUUCCAUCUAAACUGGGCCAAUACAAGUAUCGAAAUAUCGCGCCAAAACAUCAACCGCUUUGUACGUAUUCUGUUUCCGCCGAGAGCAGAGUUCCUCUCAAAAUUCUGCCAGCAGGGAUUCGAUGAUGCACUGCAAUUUCUGCAUCGUAACAACUUGAUUAACUGCAGACGCUGCAUAGCCGUUCAGUCUACAUAUGUAGUUUCUGAAACCGUUGCACCAUCGCAAGAGAAUGAGUCUGAAUGCCGCGAAUGUAAAAAACAUAGAAAGGAUGCAUUGAGUUCAAACCUGCCAGAAACAGUGAUGGUGGUUAUACAAGACUAUAUAGAACAGGCUAACAAAGGCUUGGCCAAUUGGAUUUUCAAACAUCGUGGAAUUAAAUUGCUUUCUUUGCCAGCAACCGUACCGAUGGAAUUUUUCCUGGCCACAAUAUCAAAACUCACCACCAUUACGCCAAAACUGACAAAACAAAUGCGUCAUAUAGUGGAAGAGUUUAUUGAUCAGCUUAACAAUACUAUGACAAUUCGUUUCCUCAACAAAUUUACACUUUACGAUCAGCCCCAUUUUGAUGCAACUGGCCUAUUGCACUCCAACCAGGUGUAUGGUCCACAAGUUUCAAUUCUGGUCGAGAAUUGUGCCACAACACCUCUUGAAAACGAUGUCGGACAUGUCCUUGAGAUGACUGCGCAUAGCGACUCGCUAUAUUCGUAUUAUUAUUCAGAUAAUAAUACCAACAAAAUUCAAGUAACCGAAAUAUUCGACAUUGAAGACAUUACGAAACACGAACUAUGCACAGAUUUGGAAGUUUAUAACAGAGCCGCGGAGGAUCUUCCUGUAGCGCAUCAAACAUGUAAUCCUGAAUGGGAUGGAAUUAAAGCUGUUAAAAUUAUGCCAACGACACCUGAACUACAUGAUGUUGCAUUUUAAAAUCUACCUAGUAUGCCUCCAAAUCUCCAAGUUAAAAAAUAUUUGAAAAAUCAAAUAUUUUAUAUUUCCGUAUUAAAGAUGAGACACGUAUAGUGUAACACGUAUCUGUUAUCCUGAGGCUGAAAAAGAUUAACCAGUUUGGACAUGUAAUUGGACAUGCGCUUUUGAACAUGUCUCUAUAUUAUUUGUAAUGUAACGAACCCAAAGAGGCUUGCAGCCAAACAUUUCAUUGCUAAAAAAAGUUAACACAUUUUAUUGUAGAAACCUAUAUAC